GUGCCAGCAGCCCGCGUAAUACGUANGUGGCAAGCGUUGUCCGGAUUUAUGGGCGUAAAGCGAGCGCAGGCGGUUCCUUAAGUCUGAUGUGAAAGCCCCCGGCUCAACCGGGGAGGGUCAUUGGAAACUGGGGAACUUGAGUGCAGAAGAGGAGAGUGGAAUUCCAUGUGUAGCGGUGAAAUGCGUAGAUAUAUGGAGGAACACCAGUGGCGAAGGCGACUCUCUGGUCUGUAACUGACGCUGAGGCUCGAAAGCGUGGGUAGCAAACAGGAUUAGAUACCCUGGUAGUCC
This 291-nucleotide ribosomal RNA is filed under the name uncultured microorganism. RNAcentral describes it as "partial 16S ribosomal RNA". It matches the Rfam family "Bacterial small subunit ribosomal RNA", at positions 505 to 796 of the family's 1533-position model. The record is from RNAcentral.